UGGACACGUCCGGUGUGUGCGGCGCAAGC
RNAcentral lists this non-coding RNA (29 nucleotides) under Mus musculus (house mouse). Lineage: Eukaryota; Metazoa; Chordata; Mammalia; Rodentia; Muridae. The record is from RNAcentral.